This 236-nucleotide ribosomal RNA is filed under the name uncultured Pseudomonas sp. RNAcentral's name for it is "partial 16S ribosomal RNA". It matches the Rfam family "Bacterial small subunit ribosomal RNA", at positions 96 to 334 of the family's 1533-position model. The record is from RNAcentral. Lineage: Bacteria; Pseudomonadati; Pseudomonadota; Gammaproteobacteria; Pseudomonadales; Pseudomonadaceae.
CGGCGGACGGGUGAGUAAUGCCUAGGAAUCUGCCUGGUAGUGGGGGGAUAACGUUCGGAAACGGACGCUAAUACCGCAUACGUCCUACGGGAGAAAGCAGGGGACCUUCGGGCCUUGCGCUAUCAGAUGAGCCUAGGUCGGAUUAGCUAGUUGGUGGGGUAAUGGCUCACCAAGGCGACGAUCCGUAACUGGUCUGAGAGGAUGAUCAGUCACACUGGAACUGAGACACGGUCCAG